GAUGAACGCUGGCGGCGUGCCUAAUACAUGCAAGUCGAGCGAACAGACGAGGAGCUUGCUCCUCUGACGUUAGCGGCGGACGGGUGAGUAACACGUGGAUAACCUACCUAUAAGACUGGGAUAACUUCGGGAAACCGGAGCUAAUACCGGAUAAUAUAUUGAACCGCAUGGUUCAAUAGUGAAAGACGGUUUUGCUGUCACUUAUAGAUGGAUCCGCGCCGCAUUAGCUAGUUGGUAAGGUAACGGCUUACCAAGGCGACGAUGCGUAGCCGACCUGAGAGGGUGAUCGGCCACACUGGAACUGAGACACGGUCCAGACUCCUACGGGAGGCAGCAGUAGGGAAUCUUCCGCAAAGGGCGAAAGCCUGACGGAGCAACGCCGCGUGAGUGAAGAAGGUCUUCGGAUCGUAAAACUCUGUUAUUAGGGAAGAACAAAUGUGUAAGUAACUAUGCACGUCUUGACGGUACCUAAUCAGAAAGCCACGGCUAACUACGUG
This 497-nucleotide ribosomal RNA is filed under the name uncultured bacterium. RNAcentral describes it as "partial 16S ribosomal RNA". It matches the Rfam family "Bacterial small subunit ribosomal RNA", at positions 28 to 507 of the family's 1533-position model. The record is from RNAcentral.